CCACUGCCUAGUCGUCACGCUCAUGUCCCAGAGCGUCUAUGAGACCACACCCUCCACGUGAUCGUUGUUCGCCAUCUCGCCGAUCCAACCCUCCAGGAUUCCAGACACGCAUGGUCGAGCAAUCAGAAUUUAAGUUAUUCGGCGAUCGUCGUUCUUAUUUUUCAACAUACGAAGUGCUAAUUUGUACCGAUGUAUAUUAGCUAGCUUCUUAGAUUUAAAAAACUAAUGUCAAUACACAUCACCAUUUAUUUACGAAGUAUUAAUAUGCUCCACUGUAUAAUAUAGAAUAUUUUUAAAGUCUACAGGGCCCACCACGAUCAGUUCGCACGGGGGCCCUCAAAAUCAUAGGACCGGGGCUGGCCAUAGGCAACCUAGAUCCAGAGUUCCAGACGAACGAAGAGGAGAGAGACGAUCCAAAGUGCAUGAAAAUGAAAGCCCGUCAUUGGUUUCGCAGCCCUCUUGAUGGACAGAUGGAUGGAUCACGUUCGUGUUCUCUCUCGUAUUUUCACGCCGGCCGUCGUCGUUGCCUUUUCCUUGUCUCAUGCAUGGGCCACCUGCAGGUGGUCUAGUCCAUCUGCCACUGACACUGAGGACUGUGGGAGGUGACGCGCGCGUGGACAUGAACGGGGCCGGCCGGCCGGCCGUGAUGCUGCGCAGGCCCGUCACUACCCCGUGCAUGCAUGCAUGCAUCGCAUGGUUCCGAUGGGAUUGGGAGGCAGCAGGGGCCAUCCGGCCUCCGGCCAUGCAUCAUGCAGGCAUGAUGGCGGAUGGCCUGGGCGGGCGCGCGCGCGAAGACUCGGUUAGUUCUGAUUUGAAGACGAUGGGGAAAAAAUAUCAAAUUAAAGCCCGCAAUGCAAGGAUGUGUGCAUGCUUUGCAAAUGAUGGAUUGAUAUGGCAUUAAGGCUGCAUAGGGCAUGU
RNAcentral lists this unclassified non-coding RNA (918 nucleotides) under Zea mays. RNAcentral's name for it is "misc RNA Zm00001eb126870". Lineage: Eukaryota; Viridiplantae; Streptophyta; Magnoliopsida; Poales; Poaceae. The record is from RNAcentral.